AGUGAACGCUGGCGGUAGGCCUAACACAUGCAAGUCGAACGGCAGCACAGAGGAGCUUGCUCCUUGGGUGGCGAGUGGCGGACGGGUGAGGAAUACAUCGGAAUCUACUCUGUCGUGGGGGAUAACGUAGGGAAACUUACGCUAAUACCGCAUACGACCUACGGGUGAAAGCAGGGGACCUUCGGGCCUUGCGCGAUUGAAUGAGCCGAUGUCGGAUUAGCUAGUUGGCGGGGUAAAGGCCCACCAAGGCGACGAUCCGUAGCUGGUCUGAGAGGAUGAGCAGCCACACUGGAACUGAGACACGGUCCAGACUCCUACGGGAGGCAGCAGUGGGGAAUAUUGGACAAUGGGCGCAAGCCUGAUGCAGCCAUACCGCGUGGGUGAAGAAGGCCUUCGGGUUGUAAAGCCCUUUUGUUGGGAAAGAAAUCCAGCUGGCUAAUACCCGGUUGGGAUGACGGUACCCAAAGAAUAAGCACCGGCUAACUUCGUGCCAGCAGCCGCAGUAA
Molecule: ribosomal RNA, 506 nt
Filed under: uncultured bacterium
Lineage: Bacteria
Description: partial 16S ribosomal RNA
Rfam family: Bacterial small subunit ribosomal RNA
Source: RNAcentral